RNAcentral lists this ribosomal RNA (468 nucleotides) under uncultured bacterium. RNAcentral's name for it is "partial 16S ribosomal RNA". It matches the Rfam family "Bacterial small subunit ribosomal RNA", at positions 28 to 507 of the family's 1533-position model. The record is from RNAcentral.
GACGAACGCUGGCGGCGUGCUUAACACAUGCAAGUCGAACGGAAAGGCCCUGCUUUUGUGGGGUGCUCGAGUGGCGAACGGGUGAGUAACACGUGAGUAACCUGCCCUUGACUUUGGGAUAACUUCAGGAAACUGGGGCUAUUACCGGAUAGGAGCUCUUGCUGCAUGGUGGGGGUUGGAAAGUUUCGGCGGUUGGGGAUGGACUCGCGGCUUAUCAGCUUGUUGGUGGGGUAGUGGCUUACCAAGGCUUUGACGGGUAGCCGGCCUGAGAGGGUGACCGGCCACAUUGGGACUGAGGUACGGCCCAGACUCCUACGGGAGGCAGCAGUGGGAAAUAUUGCGCAAUGGGCGGAAGCCUGAUGCAACAACGCCGCGUGCGGGAUGACGGCCUUCGGGUUAUAAACCGCUUUCGCCUGUGACGAAGCGUGAGUGACGGUAAUGGGUAAAGAAGCACCGGCUAACUACGUG